RNAcentral lists this unclassified non-coding RNA (346 nucleotides) under Zanthoxylum gilletii. Its description in RNAcentral is "partial external transcribed spacer". Lineage: Eukaryota; Viridiplantae; Streptophyta; Magnoliopsida; Sapindales; Rutaceae. The record is from RNAcentral.
CUGUGUUGCUUACCCGCGGAAAGGAAUUCGAUUGCUUUUGGUGUGCCCAUCCGCCUUAUACCCCUAAAAGGUGUGGGGCGGACGUGAGGCGGGCUCUGUGUUCCCCACAUGUCGAGUGCAUUGGCGCUCGGUCGUUGUGGCCCAUAGGGUUUCCGCCCGUGCUUUCGGAUGCGGAACGUUGUGUGUGCGGGUUUGCGGGGGUCUCGACCUCCGCUCAUCCGAGCCGCACUUUACAUUGUCCCUCGAAGCGAAUGACCGUCGCGUCUGUCUUGAUCAACCAAUCGGGCUCUCACCGUGGGGUUCCGGGAGGGCUGCUCAUGCGGGCGUCGGCGUCGGAGAGGAAUGC